Molecule: long non-coding RNA, 565 nt
Organism: Harpegnathos saltator (Jerdon's jumping ant)
Lineage: Eukaryota; Metazoa; Arthropoda; Insecta; Hymenoptera; Formicidae
Exons: 4
Source: RefSeq, a predicted model, not a curated record
CCCAUUGAACAAUUUUUGCGAAUAUUUAUCGGAAUAUCUAAAAACAUUCUACAUCAAGAACACGUAAAUAUGCAAGAGAAGGAAAAUGUAUUAGACAUAUCUUUGCAAAAUGAAAAUGACAAAAAUUAUUAAGAGGAAUUAUUUGUUGGACUACCUGAAACUGUUUGUUAUGAACAACAUAUAAAUAUGCAAAGAAACGAAAAUAUUCCAAAUAUAUCUUUGAUAGACAUACUGGAAAAAAUUGUGAAGAAAAAAUACAAGUUACUAUAGAUCCCAAAUAUAUCCCAAUAAAUCUAUUAGAACCUAAGAUUACUCUAAUAAAGCUCACACGUCGAGACUGCGAAAAAUAUAUUAAGAAUAGUCAGCAACCAUUAACGUUUAUUGAAAACAUUAUUCCAUCAAAAAUUACACGAAAACGGAAAGCACGUAAACCUUGCAGUCGUUGCAGAUAAAAAUAACCGUAUAUAUUUUAAGAUAUACGUUAUAUUUUAGUAUGCGUGCUUCCUACUGUUCUUUUGUUGGCUUAUUAUAUAAUUGUUAUAUAAUUAUGUAACACAUAUUGUUU